GUGAUUCGUUCCGCCCCUUCCCCGCCCUCCAUCAAUAAACUACGGGCAAAGGUAGAAGUGACCUGAAGUAGUGGAAGGCCGUGGGCGAGCGCCGCAAGGGCGCCAUUGUUAAGAAGCCCAUGUUUUCCCAACCCCAGCCCAGGACAUCUGGUCUGACAAAGGACUCUCUUCUGAUGCGUGCGUGUAUUUCUCAUACCGAAAAGCCGUCCGGCUCCAGUCAAAAGCACUCAGCACAGAUCGCUUUGAGAGUUUUCCAGCUGCUGUCUUUUCUUCUUCCGCGGCAGGCCCUGGGUGAGCUACAUACGGGUCUUCGGUUGACUUUUCACCCCUUCUCCCAGAAUAACUGCGGGCGUGGCACUGCCCCACAAGCCUACAACUUGAGAGCUUGCCCUUCGGUGAAACUCCUCCCAUCCUUGAUCUGGGACUGCACCUGGCCUACCUCUGCUGCCUCCCCCCACCCUCCCUCUCCCCCCUCCACGCAGCCACCCUCUCCUCCCCCGCGGGGCCUCCCCAGACCACUCCACCCACAGCUCCUCUCCUUCCAAGGGCUCUGUAAUUUAUGCUCUUCACACGGCGCCUCCGACAAUUAAUCACCACUUAUCAGCCGCGUGACCUUCAGUAAGCCCAGAAGCUUGUCGUGAGAAUUUAAUGAGAUCAAGCCUAUAAAAUAAAUACCUCUCACAGUGUGGGGCGCA
This 695-nucleotide long non-coding RNA is filed under the name Oryctolagus cuniculus (rabbit). RNAcentral describes it as "lncRNA (ENSOCUG00000030949.1)". Lineage: Eukaryota; Metazoa; Chordata; Mammalia; Lagomorpha; Leporidae. The record is from RNAcentral.